Molecule: ribosomal RNA, 253 nt
Filed under: uncultured bacterium
Lineage: Bacteria
Description: partial 16S ribosomal RNA
Rfam family: Bacterial small subunit ribosomal RNA
Source: RNAcentral
UACAGAGGUCUCAAGCGUUGUUCGGAAUCACUGGGCGUAAAGGGUGCGUAGGUGGCGUGGCAAGUCAGAUGUGAAAGCCCGGGGCUCAACCUCGGAAUAGCAUCCGAUACUCCCAUGCUAGAGUACUGAAGAGGUGACUAGAAUUCUCGGUGUAGCAGUGAAAUGCGUAGAUAUCGAGAGGAAUACCAACGGCGAAGGCAGGUCACUGGGCAGUUACUGACACUGAGGCACGAAGGCCAGGGGAGCAAACGGG